AUGCAAGUCAAGGGGGCCCAGCAAUGGGCAACCGGCGAACGGGUGCGUAACACGUGAGCAACCUACCGAACUGUGGGGGAUAGCCGGCCUAACGGCCGAGUAAUACCGCAUACGCUUUCGAUGAGGCAUUUCAUUGAAAGGAAACCUACGGGACAGAUCGAGGGGCUCGCGGCCUAUCAGCUAGUUGGCGAGGUAACGGCUCACCAAGGCGACGACGGGUAGCUGGUCUGAGAGGAUGGCCAGCCACAUUGGGACUGAGAUACGGCCCAGACUCCUACGGGAGGCAGCAGUGGGGAAUCUUGCGCAAUGGCCUAACGGCUGACGCAGCGACGCCGCGUGUGGGAUGAAGCUCUUCGGAGUGUAAACCACUGUUGCCCGGGACGAAUAGCUCGAUUAAUCGAGCCUGACGGUACCGGGUGAGGAAGCACCGGCUAACUCCGUGCCAGCAGCCGCGGUAAUACGGGGGGUGCGAGCGUUGUCCGGAAUCACUGGGCGUAAAGGGCGCGUAGGUGGUUUGAUAAGGGUGUGGUGAAAGUCCGGAGCUCAACUCCGGAUCUGCCGUGCCGACUGUCAAACUCGAGGGCUGUAGAGGCAGACGGA
Molecule: ribosomal RNA, 600 nt
Filed under: uncultured soil bacterium
Lineage: Bacteria
Description: bacterial SSU rRNA
Rfam family: Bacterial small subunit ribosomal RNA
Source: RNAcentral